This 489-nucleotide ribosomal RNA is filed under the name uncultured bacterium. RNAcentral's name for it is "partial 16S ribosomal RNA". It matches the Rfam family "Bacterial small subunit ribosomal RNA", at positions 28 to 507 of the family's 1533-position model. The record is from RNAcentral.
GACGAACGCUGGCGGCGUGCUUAACACAUGCAAGUCGAACGGAAAGGCCCCCACCUUGGUGGGGGUGCUCGAGUGGCGCACGGGUGAGUAACACGUGGGUGAUCUGCCCUGUACUUCGGGAUAAGCUUGGGAAACUGGGUCUAAUACCGGAUAGGACCAUGGUUUAGUGUCUCAUGGUGGAAAAAUUAUUGUUUUGGUGCAGGAUGAGCUCGCGGCCUAUCAGCUUGUUGGUGGGGUAAUGGCCUACCAAGGCGUCGACGGGUAGCCGGCCUGAGAGGGUGGACGGCCACAUUGGGACUGAGAUACGGCCCAGACUCCUACGGGAGGCAGCAGUGGGGAAUAUUGCACAAUGGGCGCAAGCCUGAUGCAGCGACGCCGCGUGGGGGAUGACGGCCUUCGGGUUGUAAACUCCUUUCGUUAGGGACGAAGCCACACCUUUUUUGGGUGUGGUGACGGUACCUUUGUUAAGAAGCACCGGCUAACUACGUG